RNAcentral lists this ribosomal RNA (327 nucleotides) under uncultured eukaryote. RNAcentral describes it as "partial 18S ribosomal RNA". It matches the Rfam family "Eukaryotic small subunit ribosomal RNA", at positions 1470 to 1796 of the family's 1831-position model. The record is from RNAcentral.
CCCUUAGAUGUUCUGGGCCGCACGCGCGCUACACUGACGAAUGCAACGAGCUUAUAACCUUGGCCGAAAGGUCUGGGUAAUCUCCAAAUUUCGUCGUGAUGGGGAUAGAUUAUUGCAAUUAUUAAUCUUCAACGAGGAAUGCCUAGUAAGUGCAAGUCAUCAGCUUGCGUUGAUUACGUCCCUGCCCUUUGUACACACCGCCCGUCGCUCCUACCGAUUGAAUGAUCCGGUGAAGCGCUCGGACCGCGGCCUCUUGACGGUUUUCCGUCGAUUGGCUGUGGGAAGUUCGUUAAACCUUAUCAUUUAGAGGAAGGAGAAGUCGUAACA